AUUAAUUAGGGGAGGAAAAGAAACUAACAAGGAUUUUCUUAGUAGCGGCGAGCGAAAAGAAAUCAGUUCAGCACUAAGUCACUUUGUCUUUAUGGCAAAUGUGAGAUGCAGUGUAUGGUACGUCUAUAAUCUAGUAUGAGAAAUUAACGAUUUAAGUCCUUCUUAAAUGAGGCCACUUACCCAUAGAGGGUGCCAGGCCCGUAUAACGUUAAUGAUUACUAGAGGGCGAUUCCAAAGAGUCGUGUUGCUUGAUAGUGCAGCACUAAGUGGGUGGUAAACUCCAUCUAAAACUAAAUAUAACCAUGAGACCGAUAGUAAACAAGUACCGUGAGGGAAAGUUGAAAAGAACUCUGAAUAGAGAGUUAAAUAGUACGUGAAACUGCUUAGAGGUUAAGCCCGAUGAACCUGAAUAUCCGUUAUGGAAAAUUCAUCAUUAAAAUUAUGAUAUGAUCUUAUGAUAUAUUGUAAUGAUAGUGUGCAUUUUUUCCAUAUGAGGACAUUGUAAUCUAUUAACAUAUAAAUGAAAUAUUUAUCAAAAAAUCAUGAGCUUAAGUUUAUUUAAAUUAUUUUGCUUGCAUUAUAACAUAAAAUAAAUGCUUGUUGAUUUGAUAAAGUGUUGAUAGAUUUAACAUAUAUGCAGUGCGUUAAUUUUUCGGAAUUAUAUAAUAGCAUAUUAAUCGAUGAUUUUUAUGUUCAUUAUAAGCACUUGCAUGAUUUACAAUGCGAAAGAUUCAGGAUACCUUCGGGACCCGUCUUGAAACACGGACCAAGGAGUCUAACAUAUUUGCAAGUCAUUGGGACUUUAUAAACCUAAUGGCAUAAUUAACUUGACUGAGUUAAUCUAACAAUGGGAUUAGUUUUUAAAUUUUAAUCAAUUUAUUAACACAAUCCCGGGGCGUUCUAUAUAGUUAUGUAUAAUAAUAUUUUAUAUUGUUUAUGCCUCUAA
RNAcentral lists this ribosomal RNA (946 nucleotides) under Pararhinoleucophenga alafumosa. RNAcentral's name for it is "partial 28S ribosomal RNA". It matches the Rfam family "Eukaryotic large subunit ribosomal RNA", at positions 42 to 798 of the family's 3401-position model. Lineage: Eukaryota; Metazoa; Arthropoda; Insecta; Diptera; Drosophilidae. The record is from RNAcentral.